This 85-nucleotide transfer RNA is filed under the name Bacteroidota bacterium. RNAcentral describes it as "tRNA-Ser". It matches the Rfam family "tRNA". Rfam says of the family: Transfer RNA (tRNA) molecules are approximately 80 nucleotides in length. The record is from RNAcentral. Lineage: Bacteria; Pseudomonadati; Bacteroidota. RNAcentral also lists the same sequence under 2 other names.
GGAGAGGUGGCAGAGUGGUCGAUCGCGGCGGUCUUGAAAACCGUUGAUCUGCAAGGAUCCGGGGGUUCGAAUCCCCCCUUCUCCG